RNAcentral lists this ribosomal RNA (533 nucleotides) under uncultured bacterium. RNAcentral describes it as "bacterial SSU rRNA". It matches the Rfam family "Bacterial small subunit ribosomal RNA", at positions 773 to 1314 of the family's 1533-position model. The record is from RNAcentral.
AGGAAAUAGAUACCCCGGUAGUCCACGCCGUAAACGAUGAGUACUAGGUGUAGGGGGUAUCGACCCCCUCUGUGCCGAAAGCUAAACGCGAUAAAGUACUCCGCCUGGGGACUACGGCCGCAAGGCUAAGACUCAAAGGAAUUGACGGGGGCCCGCACAAGCAGCGGAGCGUGUGGUUUAAUUCGAUGAUACGCGAAGAACCUCACCCAGGUUUGACAUGCAUGUGGUACUGAUGUGAAAGCUGAUGGACCCUUCGGGGAGCAUGCACAGGUGUUGCACGGCCGUCGUCAGCUCGUGCCGUGAGGUGUUGGGUUAAGUCCCGCAACGAGCGCAACCCCUGUCGCCAGUUGUAUUUUUCUGGCGAGACUGCCGAGAAAACCUCGGAGGAAGGAGGGAACGAUGUCAGGUCAGCGUGGCCCUUACGCCUGGGGCUACACACACGCUACAAUGGGUGGUACAACGGGCAGCCAAGCCGCGAGGCGGAGCUAAUCCCAUCAAAACCAUCCUCAGUUCGGAUUGCAGGCUGAAACUCG